RNAcentral lists this ribosomal RNA (252 nucleotides) under uncultured bacterium. RNAcentral describes it as "partial 16S ribosomal RNA". It matches the Rfam family "Bacterial small subunit ribosomal RNA", at positions 524 to 776 of the family's 1533-position model. The record is from RNAcentral.
GACGGGGGGGGCAAGUGUUCUUCGGAAUGACUGGGCGUAAAGGGCACGUAGGCGGUGAAUCGGGUUGAAAGUGAAAGUCGCCAAAAAGUGGCGGAAUGCUCUCGAAACCAAUUCACUUGAGUGAGACAGAGGAGAGUGGAAUUUCGUGUGUAGGGGUGAAAUCCGUAAAUAUACGAAGGAACGCCAAAAGCGAAGGCAGCUCUCUGGGUCCCUAGCCGACGCUGGGGUGCGAAAGCAUGGGGAGCGAACAGG